CUGGCGGCGUGCCUAAUACAUGCAAGUCGAACGGUCUUUCUAUGGAAGCUUGCUUCCACUGAGAAGAUAGUGGCGAACGGGUGAGUAACACGUGGGUAACCUGCCCAUAAGAGGGGGGAUAACAUCCGGAAGCGGGUGCUAAUACCGCAUAGUUUUCUUGAUCGCAUGAUUGAGAAAGGAAAGACGGCCUUUGUGCUGUCGCUUAUGGAUGGACCCGCGGCGUAUUAGUUAGUUGGUGAGGUAACGGCUCACCAAGACGAUGAUACGUAGCCGACCUGAGAGGGUGAUCGGCCACAUUGGGACUGAGACACGGCCCAAACUCCUACGGGAGGCAGCAGUAGGGAAUCUUCCGCAAUGGACGAAAGUCUGACGGAGCAACGCCGCGUGAGUGAAGAAAAGGUUUUCGGAUCGUAAAACUCUGUUGUCAGAGAAGAACAAGUUGGAGAGUAACUGCUCCAGCCUUGACGGUAUCUGACCAGAAAGCCACGGCUAACUACGUGCCAGCAGCCGC
Molecule: ribosomal RNA, 511 nt
Filed under: uncultured bacterium
Lineage: Bacteria
Description: bacterial SSU rRNA
Rfam family: Bacterial small subunit ribosomal RNA
Source: RNAcentral